GGGGAAUUGGCGCAAUGGUAGCGCGUUGGUUUUCGGCUAUCCAAAAGUCAUACACCAAAGGUUGUGGGUUCGAUCCCCAUGUUCCUCG
Non-coding RNA from Periconia macrospinosa, 88 nucleotides. NCBI's taxonomy places the organism in Eukaryota, Fungi, Ascomycota, Dothideomycetes, Pleosporales, Periconiaceae. The record is from the annotation of a GenBank genome assembly.